GCCUCACUUAGCAGACUCUAUUCACAUUUUUUGGAUAAAAACCUGCCCCGUCCCUCUUUCUCUCUCUUAAUCGUGUUAUGCUCUCCUCUCAACCCUAACUCCCUACCACUCUCUCACUUCUCAUCAAGAAAUUUCAAGAUCUACUCCCAUUCUUGAAGAUGAUGCCUCAAUUUCAAGAAAUACGACAAAUUGAAGACAAAAUUCAAAGACUUUGAGGUAUUAAUCUGUCUCCAAUGUUCUGAAUCUGUUGGAUAUUUAGGUUCUUGCCUCAAGUUGAUUUUUUAUUCCUCGUAUGUGAAUUGAAAUCCGCCGUUUAUGCAUUUGUUUAAUAGUCGUCUUUUCUUUCUCUCUCUAGUUCUCCGUUAGAUUUAGUUCUCUUGACUACAUAUUCGAUUUUUGUUGUGUUUUUAUUCGGGUAUAUUUUAGGUUUUCUACACUUUUCAUAUCUUUUUAGUCAUUAUGUUUUAUUGAUAUGAAUCUCUAAUUUAUGAUUCGACUCCGAUAUGUAAAUUAGGUUUUUCAAUUUUUUUUUUCCCAUUUCAGUUAAGCAUAAGAAAUUUGGGAAAGAAACUACAGCUUAUUGUGUAAAUUUGAGUUUUCAGAUGUUUGUUCCUAGUUAAAUUUAGUAGUACGUGUUUGAUUGGGUUGGAUGAUGUAAAUGUGUGAAUUUAGUUGUAUGCUUAAUUUGUGAAAUACUUGGAUUUGUGAAUUUUAAUAUUAGCGAAUUGUAUUGUAUGAAAUUCAGUGAAAUCAAUAGGGCUAAUUACGAAACAAUAAUACUUGGAUUUUCUUCCUUGUUAUCCUUUCUCUUUACUCUCUUAGUCAUGAUGGUGCUCUGUUAAGUUUUUUAUGUGCUUCAAAUUGUUUUUAAGGACCGAAAAUGAAGUUUUUUUUAUCCUAACUUUAUCUAAUAUGUUUUCUUUAUUAAUAGUGGCUCUUAGUUUGUAUCUUAAUUAAGUUAUAUUUAAUCUUUAUCUAGAAUAAGUAGUUUUAAUUUAUGAAGGAAUAAAUUAUCCAAUUUGGUUAUGUGUUGAAAUUUUACAUAUUGCUUAUUUCAUUCACCUGAUUGUAUAACAUUUAUGGAAUAUUUUCUCAAUCUUUCACUGGCCUCCGGAAAGGAUAAAAGCAAUUUCAGAGGAAGGAAUGUUUUAAAAUGAAUAUGAACAGAGAUUAUGUUUCUUUUCAUCUUAUUUGUACUCUAUUUUACACUCAUAAAAGCAUCAAAAACAUUCUUAGUGUCUGAAGAAGAUGACAGUAAGAUACUAAGUUUACCAGGUCAACCAUCAAACCCGCCCAUCUCACAGUUCUCAGGUUACAUCAUUGUUAACCAAAAUAAUGGCAGGGCCCUUUUUUACUGGUUCUUUGAAGCUCUUUCACAGCCCUUUGAUAAACCUCUUGUACUCUGGCUCAAUGGAGUACCUGGUUGCUCAUCAGUAGGAUAUGGUGCUCUUGUGGAAUUAGGUCCACUUAAAGUUGAUGAAAACGGUGAUGGCUGACUAUUCAAUAACUUAUCGUGGAAUACAGGUAAUUAUCAUCUCAUAUUCAUUACCAUGUCUUUCUUUCAACAACUCAGAAAGUCAGAAUCAUGUUAAACGUGUUAAUAUGCCAUCUUAAUAUUCUACUGAAGAAUGUUUGAAUAGUUGCUCUACUUUCUUCUUCUCCUUUUCUAAUAUUUCUCAAGCAUAAAUGCCUUCUAUCAAACUCCGGACAAGAGAAAUUACUAAAAUUAUGCUAUAGAAUUAAAUGUGCUGGGAACUUUUAUUCCAAUUGGAAAGAGCUAGAAAACGUUGAGUUAAAUAGAGGCCUAGACAUUAAGCCUAGAGAUCGAAGCACGAGAUGACAAAGUUUGGGGAAUAUUACUUGUUGGUCAAAGUAUGCAUUUUUUUCCAUUUUUUAUUUGUGAUAAUUAGUUUAAGUUACUUAAUUUGUAAACUCUUCCAACAAACAUAAUGGGUGAAGAAAAGGACUUUUUGUUUACACUAAGGGGCAAUGUUGGCCUCGUCCCAUUAUCCUAUACGUAAUAUUGAUCUUUCUUUAAUUUGAUCUCUACUAUCAGACCCUUGCAAUAUUUUUUUCAUCUUGACCCACAUUUCCUAACUUCAUUAAUUUUUCCACAUAGGUUUAUGCAACGACUGCCAAAAAUAGAUGAAAGUUGUAAGAUCAUUUUAAUGAUUACAGAGUAACUUUUGUAAUCUUAAUUAAGCUCAGUUGCAACAGGAAGGCAGAUUAAUUUAAUUCUAGUUGUCUAUUUUCACUUCUUGUAUCUUAGCCUGAUUGUUGGUGUUCUGGCCAUUUACUUGAUGGUGAUUUUUGUCCUACAAACAUUAUCUUGUACGUUUGACUUUUCUUUCUUAGUAUAUUCUUGUUUAUGACUUCAAGUGCUUAAGUUUUCCUUUUCAAAAUUGUUUAUGGUUUAUUUGUGCUGAUUAUUUUUAGUUUUGUGGUUAUGCAGAUAUUACCCAUGUCUAUAGACUCACAUCCAAUAGGCCCUAAGCCUCAGAGAAAUUAUGUACUUGUGUGUAUGAUUCAGCCGAAAGGUUAUGAUUUCUGAUUGAGUCAAGCUGGUUUUGGUAGUUAUUGUUGGUUUUGCUUCAAAACAUUUACUUGAUGCUUCACUGUAUUCCAUUCUACUGUACAAGUAUGACAGUCCUCAUCCCUCAAACAUGUCACGUACUAGUUAAUUAGAUGAGGAUGACCCAUACAACUCAUGUUUUCUCGUUUAUUUUCUAUAUCAGCAAUAUAAUUGCAUUCUUGAUUUACAAUGAUUCUUGGUUGUUUGACUUGGAUUAGGAUAUACGUUUACAACUCAGCUGUCCAGACACUUAUUCUUAUUAUUUUUCACUUCUAGUGUAAAACCUUGGUGCACUCAAUAUCGUUGAAAUUUGGGUGCGUGUCAUCGUUUCAUUCUUUACAGUGGAGUUUUCUUAAUUUAUUUUUACACAGUGGGAAAAACUAACUUAUCGUUUUUAUGAUUUUUUUGAGGUCCGUGAUGCAUUUGAAGAUUAUGGUGGUGGAAGAAAGGAAUCAAGGGAUGAUGCGUAGCUCCCUCUACUAUGAAGCUCAUACUCUUGAACUUAUAGGCUUCGAUUGGCCUUUGUUUUCAAGAUGAAACUUUAGACUAAUAGGUUUUUGUAUUACUAAUUUUAUACAUAAGUUUUUGUAAGUUAAUUUUAUUGUUAAUUGAAGAUCAAUUAUUCACAAUUUAGGUUUUAUUGAUCGA
This is a long non-coding RNA of Spinacia oleracea (spinach), 3220 nucleotides long. RefSeq lists it as uncharacterized. Lineage: Eukaryota; Viridiplantae; Streptophyta; Magnoliopsida; Caryophyllales; Amaranthaceae. The record is from RefSeq and is a predicted model, not a curated record. The transcript has 2 exons.